This 435-nucleotide ribosomal RNA is filed under the name uncultured Oscillospiraceae bacterium. Its description in RNAcentral is "bacterial SSU rRNA". It matches the Rfam family "Bacterial small subunit ribosomal RNA", at positions 341 to 792 of the family's 1533-position model. Lineage: Bacteria; Bacillati; Bacillota; Clostridia; Eubacteriales; Oscillospiraceae. The record is from RNAcentral.
ACGGGAGGCAGCAGUCGGGAAUAUUGCGCAAUGGAGGAAACUCUGACGCAGUGACGCCGCGUAUAGGACGAAGGUCUUCGGAUUGUAAACUAUUGUCGUUAGGGAAGGGAAAGGACAGUACCUAAGGAGGAAGCUCCGGCUAACUACGUGCCAGCAGCCGCGGUAAUACGUAGGGAGCGAGCGUCAUCCGGAUUUAUUGGGUGUAAAGGGUGCGUAGACGGGAAAUUAAGUUAGUUGUGAAAUCCCUCGGCUCAACUGAGGAACUGCAACUAAAACUGAUUUUCUUGAGUAUUGGAGAGGAAAGCGGAAUUCCUAGUGUAGCGGUGAAAUGCGUAGAUAUUAGGAGGAACACCAGUGGCGAAGGCGGCUUUCUGGACUGUAACUGACACUGAGGCUCGAAAGCGUGGGGAGCAAACAGGAUUAGAUACCCUGGUA